RNAcentral lists this ribosomal RNA (468 nucleotides) under uncultured bacterium. RNAcentral describes it as "partial 16S ribosomal RNA". It matches the Rfam family "Bacterial small subunit ribosomal RNA", at positions 28 to 507 of the family's 1533-position model. The record is from RNAcentral.
GACGAACGCUGGCGGCGUGCUUAACACAUGCAAGUCGAACGGAAAGGCCCUGCUUUUGUUGGUUUCUCGAGUGGCGAACGGGUGAGUAACACGUGAGUAACCUGCCCUUGUCUUUGGGAUAACUUCAGGAAACUGGGGCUAAUACCGGAUAGGAGCUACUGCUGCAUGGUGGGGGUUGGAAAGUUUCGGCGGUUGGGGAUGGACUCGCGGCUUCUCCGCUUGUUGGUGGGGUAGUGGCUUACCAAGGCUUUGACGGGUAGCCGGCCUGAGAGGGUGACCGGCGACAAGGGGACUGAGAGACGGCCCAGAAGGCUACGGGAGGCAGCAGUGGGGAAUAUGGCGGAAUGGGCGGAAGCCUGAGGCAGCAACGCCGCGUGCGGGAUGACGGCUUUCGGGGUGUAAACAGCUGUCGCAUGUGACGAAGCGUGAGUGACGGUAAUGGGUAAAGAAGCACCGGCUAACUACGUG